CGGGUGCCCUGCUGGCAAGAAGUCAGUGUAAUGAAGAAUGACAGGGGGAAAUGGAAGGAGAAAAAAAAAUGCUAAAAAGCCUAGAGAUGACCACAUAUGAAACGACCAUGUGUGUAAAGGAUUGCUGGAAAAUAAAUCAGGUACAACCUUUUCUGCUCCUUACCAAACAGUACCACCUUCCCCUUUGCCCUACUUCGACUCUGGAGAGAGCAGAAACCACAGCAAGAAAGCUGACAGCGAGGAAGAGAAGCAAGGAAAGGCACCCAGAGAAGAAGAGAUGGCCUGGAUUCUGCCAUGUAAAUCAAAGAAGAGAGGGCCUAACUCAGCUGCCUAGCCUGGAUCACCUGGAACCCAUUAGGAUACAGGAUCAUAAACACCUCUAUUUUCCCUUCAGAGAGAGACCAGAACCACUGGAGUUAAGCUACCUGCAUAAGAGUUGAGUGCGAUCAGCUGUACUUAAUCUUUAAAUGUCCAACCCACUGAUAACCUUUGGUUUGCUUUGAUAACUAUGAAAUAAAUUCUCA
RNAcentral lists this long non-coding RNA (524 nucleotides) under Pan troglodytes (chimpanzee). Its description in RNAcentral is "long non-coding RNA NONPTRT007711". Lineage: Eukaryota; Metazoa; Chordata; Mammalia; Primates; Hominidae. The record is from RNAcentral.